UAGAAGCAGAAGAUAUGACCUUUUGACCCCAGGGGCCUGUCAUCUUUGGAGGGAAACAAACAGAAAAUACAUCAGAUUGAGUAGAGAAUAAGUGUGUGCAUCCCAGAGCUAAAUAUUACUUUUUGCCAGCCGGGAGAUGAGUGCUCUAUUUCCACUGACUAGCAGACUCUGAAUUGAAAGAGCUCAAGUACAAACAAGAAUAAAGGAGCUGUAAUGCAGAGUAUAGGAAACACACAUGUCUAAGAAGCCUAUCUCUGAGAAGAGAAGACAGAGUCAUCAAAGACACCCAGUUGUGUGUGGGAGUCAUCACUGGGGGUUGAAUUAUCAGGCCAAAAACAACUGGGUAUGGCUCAGUUUCUGGAGCUGUUUCAUGUCAGGGUUAACUCCCACUUCAAAGAAACCCAGCAGACGGGAAAUGAAAGUUCAGGACAUCUUCCUUUGAAUCUGUUUUCAAAAUGGCUCAUGCAGUU
This is a long non-coding RNA of Neogale vison (American mink), 470 nucleotides long. RefSeq lists it as uncharacterized. The record is from RefSeq and is a predicted model, not a curated record. Lineage: Eukaryota; Metazoa; Chordata; Mammalia; Carnivora; Mustelidae. The transcript has 3 exons.